Equus caballus (horse) is the source of this 4589-nucleotide long non-coding RNA. NCBI's taxonomy places the organism in Eukaryota, Metazoa, Chordata, Mammalia, Perissodactyla, Equidae. The record is from Ensembl.
AUGAGUUCCAGUGCUUUAACAAUAAAAAUUCUGUUUGGUGCUCUAAAAAUUCUAUUUGUUAGGUUUGGUAGGCAUAAGAUCUAUCUAAGAUCUAGGGCAAUGAGUCCCCAUCUUACUGGAACUUACUGGAUAUGUUUGUCUUGGUGAUAGUCCUUGAGAGGAAGAAUGGGCAUAAACUUCUCAAACUGAGUGCAUCAAAAUCACCUGGAGAGCCUGUGAAACGCAGGUUUCAGGGCUUCAUCCCCAGAGUUCCGAUUCAGUGGGCCUGACGAUUUGCGUUUCUAGGAAGUUCCAGGUGAUGCUGAUGCAAUUGGUUCCAGCACCACCCUUUAAGAAUCAGUGCUUUAAAGCAUGGAUGUGGACUUGGACCCUGAAGGCUGAAGGGAUGUCUGGACUCAAUAGCUUCUUGACGUCCCGGUCCUGUGAUGGCCACCCACGGCAGUGCAAGCGGAUGGAAGACGCUUGGGCCCCUGGCACUAUGAAGCAUCUUCCCUGGAUGUUUAUGCUGUUCUCUACCAGCGCUCUGGCCUGACGUUCAGGGCCCUUCGUUCUCUGACUCCACUGUAUCAUCCACUGCCACCUUCUCCUGUGACGCGAGGUGACCUUGCUCUCAUCACAUUGCUCUCCUUGUUGCCCUAAGAAUGCACACACUUGUUCAUUCACCCGUGUUUAUCAUUCAUUCAUUCCUCAUCCAUUGAACGCCUACCAUUGCCAGGCCCGGACCAGGCUCUGCGAACACAAGGGCAGUUAGAACCCAAUCCCCUCCUUGAUGGGUUUCUAGUCCAGUCCAGCAGUCCCUGCCCUUGUCGUGCCAUGGCACAAAUGAUGGAGGAUUGUUCACUCCUUGUUUGGCCUGCUGGCUAUAAUCCCAGGCACACCCUCUCCUUCCUUCCCCUCUUAAGAGAGAAGACCAGAAGGCCAGUGAGUGAGAACACUAUUGUUCGAGAGAAAUUUUCUAAGUCACAGAAAAUUAUCUUUAAGAUACAUGAUCGGCAAACUUCCAUAUAAGUAGUAAAUGACAUGGGUCACGCUAAUGUGCCUCACAGGUAGGAACCUGUAAUUUAGUGGCUCAUGUGGCCCUGCUUGCCUGUACUCCCUUUUUUAUUUAAGUGAACACUGGAGCUUCGACUAGUCCUCAUUUUCCCAAAGAGAAGAAAAGCAACUCAGCGAUAAGGAAGCCCGCACCCUUUUGAGGAGAGAACUUGCCAUCCGAUCUUUCACCUUCAAGUCUUUGAGUCAAUACCAUAAAAGUAUAAAGGAGCCGGGAGUAUCAGCCUUAAGAAGGGAGUGCUGGAAAGAAAGUAACAGGAGUCACCUGUCUGAGGGGAGAGAUUUACUCCAUUGGUUCCAAGGAAAUCGUGUCAUCCAGAGGAAGCUGCAAAAGGUGGAUUCACACCGGCGUGACUCAGUCCCCAAAGCGAUGUGCUCAAAAUAGCACUGGGUGAGGAAACCCUUGUUGGCCAGGGACGGAACCCCAGCACAAAGGAGCUCAUCAGGACGAGAAAGGGGGGAACGUAACAAUGCCUGAAGAAGCCAGGGGUAGAGUGACUUCAGUCACCGCUGGAUUACCCUGCCCCCCCCCCCCCACCUGCUCUUGCGGUGGAGAAGUGAGCCGCUGGUGUCCCAGUUAUAGCCAUAGCUCAGCAUUAGCCACCCCUUGGAUGAGAGCAGUGUCAUUCACAGUGGCUGUAGCACACCCCAGGGAUUGACUUUCACGGACCCCAACUCUGUGACCUGGGAGAAUGGCGCUGAUUCCUGAGAAGGAGUCACAGGCUGCCCCUAAAAUGGGGGUUGGGGAGUACAAGGCAGGAGCUCUGGGCCCAAACCUCGUAGCCUGAGAGUGAGGCGCCCUCCCCUCCAGAGACAAUCAGCCUGCCUAACUGAAGGGGGAACGGGUGACAGGUUACAAGAGCAGACGCUCUCUGUGUCUCCAAGCCAGGUCAGAAUAAAUGGCGCCCUUCACUUGUUUUCCCUGUCCCACACGGGGGCCAUGCAGAAGGCUUCACCAACGCUUCUUGAAGUUCCCUCUUAUCCUACCCACUUCCACCCUCUCACAUACCACAGCCUCCCUCAACACCGGGCUCCCCAUGUAAAGACUCCCCCUCCUCCUCUCCUGCCUUUCCACCUGAUUCUCUUACACAAAACCCGGAGAACCAGUCUGAUGGGUAGGACUGUGGAGGGCACAGGGCAAGUCUGUGUGUGUGAGGUGGGGGUGGGGGAGCUGAGAACACUGGCUACUUGAUUGCUUCAUCCUAUCACAGCAGGAAAAUGCGAAUUCUCCCAAGUUGGAAGGUCUCCCUUGCAAUACCCUGAGUUCCCAGUCCUGGAGGACAGGCUGUGCUCCCAGGACAUUGGGAACUGGAGGUUUACAAACCGCCUCUGUGCCCUGCUGCCACAUCCAAGCUUUCCACAAGCCCACUGCAAACGUCUUGAAGAGGACAUCUCUCUUCUCACCUGCUCUCAGAGGUAUUGCUAAGAAUUUAAAUCUAGCUGUAUCUGCAUUAUGGUCUGGCACAUCUGGGGCUAAUCUUCAAGAGCUGGAUUUGAUAAAGACAGUCCAGUAGCAAAUAAACGACCAACCGUGACAGAGGGGAAAAAAGAGAAAAAGCAAAAACCAAACAAAAACCGAUAACAAACAAGUGAAAAGACCCAGCCAGCCUCUUGAAAUGACUGGAAGUAAAAAUCAUUUGGAAGCAGCCGCCCAGAAGGAAAACUAAAGCCCUUUUGAUCUUAUCUUCCAUUUCUGAGAUAAACAAUGCAUUCAAUACAAGUGAUUCCAAAACCAAAGUUAUAAUUUUUGGAAGACAUCCCCCAGUGUUUAAUGAGGCACUGAUCUCCUGGCCAGUUUGUCUUAGAAGGUACACCAGGAAGCUCUAUUUUAUUUCUCAAAGUUGAAAGAGCUAUGGGAGUUUUAUUGAGAUUUAUACUGUGGGUUUAGGGGCCAAGGUCUAGGAAGUGGUGCCAAGAAACAUGAAGCUGGGCUUACCAUAAGCGGGCUUGGACCGUGAGGGUUCCUCCAAGUGUCUGCGGACAGCGCUCCCCCCCAGGUCCCAGGCCUGGCAGGAGGAGUGGAAGGUUUUGGCCCAGCCCUCACACUUUGACCUCCCCUAGGGUGAGGCACCAUGGCCUGGGGUGGAGAAGCCUGGGGAGUCAGUCGGGGUUAAUUUGGGCCGAGCUGCUGGUGGUCACUUUGCACUGGGAGGGGACCCCACUGCUGUCAUUAUUUUAAGCAGUUGACAACCAGGCCCCUGCAAAUUUACUGCAGGGCUUUCAUUAGCGCCCUGGGACAGUUUUAUGAGACUUUAUGGCUCUAACUGACCCUUAUCACUUAGGGACAGACGCUGUGCCCUGGGGUUAUGGGGAUCCGGUCACUCUGCUAUCAUUUGAAUGCACCCUCUAAUCACCAAUUCAAAGAAGUGUUUGAAGCAUUUAAAUUCCUGCCAGUAAUUCAGCUGCUGCUUAACGCAGGCAAUUAUUGCAUCACUUCACACAUUCAGACAGAACACUCAGCCCUGGUGGUUAUUGCACCAGCUCUGGAGCAACCUGCUCUUCCAAUUAAACUCAUUGCCCUGGAACACGCGAGAACUGCCAAUCACGCUUGAAAGCACCCCCUCACCAGCUACUUCACAAUGAGCUGGCCACAGGAAAGGACUUCCCAAAAGUUAAUCAGCCCCACCUCAGGGCAAAAGGGUCUUUAAAUAGACUGUCCAGGGUCUGCCGGGAACAGCCCUAUUAGGUAUGUGUGUGUCCCCAGGGAAACCCUUCUCAGGUCUCGUUCCAGGAAUGGUAGUCCUGCUCCCUAGAUGCAGUUGGUUUUUGUCCUAGGGCACUAUGAAUGACGAAACUAGUGGGUUUACUGUUUUUUCCCCUUUAUCUGUUUUUGUGAAACCAGUAACACAUGCUUGUUAAAGGAAAAAUCGGAAUAUACAGUCCAGCAAAAUGAAAAGCAGAACCUACAUACGAGAGAUGAAAUCAAUGAUGAGUAGAAGUGACCUCCUGAAGAAGUUGGUAACUGAAAAGAUGUGAGAAUUAAGGGAGCAGAGACCAAACUGCAUGAGCCAGUAGAUCUCAGUAGAAGACCGAUGUCCAUGGAAUUUGGAGAAGAUCAGAAGAUAGAAUGUGGCAGUGUGGCUUCAGCAGUGAGCCGAGGGAGAAGCCCUGACUCUUCAGGACACUGAGGUGUUUGUUGGAAUGUGGCCGUAGUGGAAACGAAGGCAACAGUCUGUCUGACAAGACUUGAGGGCACUCAUCAUUAACACAUCAAGACAACCGUUCUUGCUUAGACUUGAUGCUUAUUCAACAACCUUCGGAUUGUAAACCUUCUCUCCAAAUAGACUGCUCUGUGGGGAGAAAACUCUGAGUGUUGACCAGCUCUCAUAGGCAUCCUGCCCACUGGGCCCUUGUGUUUUCUCUGAAGAGAAAUAAAUGAUGGCCCACUGUGUGUCAGACUCUGGUGAAUUAGUCCCCUCAGUCCACUCACGUGGGCAAGGUGACAACACAGUGUCUGGCCUGCUGUCUCGCUAGAUAACAGCACCAGUGCAUCCUUAUUUUAUCUGACUGUAUCCGCUAGCAGAUGAGUGAUUGGGGUU